Long non-coding RNA from Penaeus chinensis, 279 nucleotides. RefSeq lists it as uncharacterized. The record is from RefSeq and is a predicted model, not a curated record. The transcript has 3 exons. NCBI's taxonomy places the organism in Eukaryota, Metazoa, Arthropoda, Malacostraca, Decapoda, Penaeidae.
UGCAGGAAAUUAUGCUUCGUUCUACCCACUUGCACUGCAUUUUCGUUCGUCUUCAAAGAUACCGGCGAUGUAGACUGUUGUAUCAGCAACCACACAGUACAGGAUCUGCAGAUGAUAAACAGAGAUUCAUGCUGGACCUUCUGUUUAAACGGUUGCCCUACAUCUACAAGCAAUACACCUGCAGUGACCACGCCCACAACACCCACAACGCCCCCAAUACCUGAAAGCGUUACUUGUUCUGCGACCGCUGACAUUGGUGACGGCCAAGGAACCCUCUAC